RNAcentral lists this long non-coding RNA (1611 nucleotides) under Felis catus (domestic cat). RNAcentral's name for it is "lncRNA (ENSFCAG00000049098.1)". Lineage: Eukaryota; Metazoa; Chordata; Mammalia; Carnivora; Felidae. The record is from RNAcentral.
GAGACUAGGAAAUAGUUGGUAUCAUCUGUUGCAUUGUUGGAGGAUUCCUUACCUAAAUACCCAGUGUUCAUUUUCUCGCUGCUUCCAAGAAUAGAGAUGGGCACAAAAUAAAAUGAGCAGCAGGCAAAAGUUUAUUAGAGUUUAAGAUCAGAAAAUAAGAAUAGUAUGAAAGUUCUCUUUACAGAGAGGGGUCAUUUGAAAGCGAAUGCCCACGACAAUAGGCAAGGGAUUCUGUUUUACAGGGUUUUGCUGGCUGCUGGGUCCUUCUCAGGUUGCACCCUUGUUGGCUAGGCAACUACAUGCCGAGUCAUUCCUUUCUGAUUGGCUCGUUUCCAUCGUAUAAGUGGUGGUCUCUGGCCAUACCUUUCUGUGUGGGUCAUACGUUUUACAAUCCAGUCAUUUUUAGUCAGGUCUUUUGUCACAUUCCUGAGGGAAACCUAAGGGGACGUAGAUGGUGUCUGUCACAUUCUCAAGAGGAACUUUACCUGUGAUAGAGUUUGCUCAAGGUCAGACUUUCCCAGAAGAAAUGUUUUAAAAUAUGUGUUCCCCACCCCCCCCCCUCCAGAAGCCCUAGCCUUUCCCUUUCUGCCUCCUGAAUCCUAUCUUCCCCUAUCAUACCAUAUUCCCUUCCUCUGCCUCUUCUUUUCAUGCAUCUCAAUCUCCUGGUCCAUCUCUGUCUCUCCUUCUACCCUACUGCUUUCCUUUAAGUUCCUCCCUCUGGCUCUUUUCUGAUUCUGGCCCUUUGUUCGUGCUAUUCUCUGUGGUUGGCAUGCUUUCCUCCUGUCUCCAUCACAAUGCUGAUUAUACCUCAGGUGUUUCCUUAGAAAUCACCCUCUCAUAGAUGUGCUUUCCCUGGAUACUUGCUCCUAACAGCUCUUGCCACAUUGUUUUUUGUUAUGCAUAUCUGUUCAUCUCCUUCAUGCCUCUGUUUUCCUUGACUACUGUAACAGAUUUAGUCUGCAGUGGCACAGGAUAUAAUCCAUAUCUGACAACUUCACCUGAAAACUUGCUGGCCGACCGUCUGUCCUCAGUGACAUUCUGAGAUUCCUCAACUCCGAGCAAGAUGCUUGGGAGCAAAGCAGAAAAUAUCUUACAGUGUGAUCGGUUCUGUUCUCUCCAUCUGGAGCUAGCCUACAGGUUGAUUAUAUUUGAAUAUAUUUAACAUAACAUUAAAAUGGCACACAUCAUUUUGACUGGAAGUUUCACUCUUUUGCCAGCUCUCAUAUUUACUCCUUGUAUUUUUCCCUUUUAGUUCCAUUCUCUUCCGCUACAAAGAUGAAAUGUUUAACCCUAAAAGUGGAAAUCAAUCAUUAUGAAUCUGUUUCUUCCCACCAUCCAUUGCUUUUCUUUUUUUUAAUCUUUUUAAAAUAGUUUUUAACUUAUUUAUUUUGAGAGAGAAAAAGUGUGAGCAGGGGAGGGGCAGAGAGAGAGAGAGAGAAUCCCAAGCAGACUCUGCACUGUUAGCACAGAGUUUGAUGUGGGCUCGUAGUCACAAACCGUGAGAUCAUGACCCGAACAGAAACCAAGAGUCAGACACUUAACCGACUGACUCCCCGCAGGUGCCCCUCCAUUGCUUUUCUUUUGCAAAAUAGUUUUGCAUUUUCUUUUGCC